RNAcentral lists this ribosomal RNA (405 nucleotides) under uncultured bacterium. RNAcentral's name for it is "partial 16S ribosomal RNA". It matches the Rfam family "Bacterial small subunit ribosomal RNA", at positions 30 to 526 of the family's 1533-position model. The record is from RNAcentral.
AUUGAACGCUGGCGGAAGGCUUAACACAUGCAAGUAGAACGAGAGGCGGACGGGUGAGUAAGGCUUGGGACUCUAGCUGAUGGAGGGGGAUAACUACGGGAAACUGUAGCUAAUACCGCGUACCAUAGGAGGAGACCAAGUGGUAUUAGGUAGUUGGUGAGGUAAAGGCUCACCAAGCCGAAGAUCUCUAGCUGGUCGGAGAGGAUGACCAGCCACACUGGUACUGAGACACGGCCCAGACUCCGACGGGAGGCAGCAGUGGGGAAUAUUGCGCAAUGGGGGCAACCUGACGCAGCCAUGCCGCGUGAAUGAAGAAGUCCUUCGGGUUGUAAAGUUCUUUCGGUAGCGAGGCGUUAACUACAGAAGAAGCACCGGCUAACUCCGUGCCAGCAGCCGCGGUAAUUC